GGCUAUCAGCUCGUUGGUGAGGUAACGGCUCACCUAGGCAAUGACGGGUAGCUGGUCUGAGAGGGCGAUCAGCCACACUGGAACUGAGAUACGGUCCAGACUCCUACGGGAGGCAGCAGGAGGGAAUCUUCGCGCAAUGGGCGAAAGCCUGACGCAGCGACGCCGCGUGGGGGAUGAAUGCCUUAGGGUUGUAAACCCCUUUCACGGGGGAAGAAACUGACGGUACCUCGAGAAGAAGCCCCGGCUAACUACGUGCCAGCAGCCGCGGUAAUACGUAGGGGGCGAGCGUUGUCCGGAUUUAUUGGGCGUAAAGGGCUCGUAGGCGGCUGGCAAGUCGGCCGUGAAAACCCAGGGCUCAACUCUGGGAUGCCGGUCGAUACUGCCAUGGCUAGGGUCCGGUAGAGGGGAAUGGAAUUCCCGGUGUAGCGGUGAAAUGCGCAGAUAUCAGGAGGAACACCAGUAGCGAAGGCGGUUCCCUGGGCCGGCACCGACGCUGAGGAGCGAAAGCGUGAGGAGCAAACAGGGUUAGAUACCCUGGUAGUCCACGCCGUAAACGUUGGGUACUAGGCGUGGCGUCUUAUCAACGGAUGCCGUGCUCGAAGCUAACGCGUUAAGUACCCCGCCUGGGGAGUACGG
RNAcentral lists this ribosomal RNA (636 nucleotides) under uncultured Actinomycetes bacterium. Its description in RNAcentral is "bacterial SSU rRNA". It matches the Rfam family "Bacterial small subunit ribosomal RNA", at positions 236 to 885 of the family's 1533-position model. Lineage: Bacteria; Bacillati; Actinomycetota; Actinomycetes. The record is from RNAcentral.